Molecule: small RNA, 554 nt
Filed under: Pan troglodytes (chimpanzee)
Lineage: Eukaryota; Metazoa; Chordata; Mammalia; Primates; Hominidae
Description: processed transcript
Source: RNAcentral
CUCUUAACCCGCGCGCGGGGGCGCCCAGGCCACUGGGCUCCGCGGAGCAAGCGAGAGGUCUGCGCGGAGUCUGAGCGGCGCGUGUCCCGUCCCAAGGCCGACGCCAGCACGCCGUCAUGGCCCCCGCAGCGGCGUCGGGGGGCAGCACCCUGCCCAGUGGCUUCUCGGUCUUCACCACCUUGCCCGACUUGCUCUUCAUCUUUGAGUUUGUGAUGACAAUGUUCCAAGAUUGACUGUGGUGAUGGACGCACGUAUCUGCGAAUAUUCUGAAAACCAGGGAAUCAUACCCUUUCAAUGGGGGAAUUGCAUGGGCUGUGAAUUAUAGCUCAUAAAGCUGUUUAAGAAAAGAAAAAGAUAAUGUCUCCCCACCAUCUCACUAUGAAACACACUGCUAUAAAUAUACCAUGCAAAGGAAAAAAGUCGGCCUCAUUUUUUAAAGGACUCACUUGCAAGGUGAUGCCCCCAGAGGCUGGGUGGGGUCCUGAGAUCUGUCAGGGUACAGGAGCUGGGGUUAAACCCAUAGUGGGCUUUGUUCUAUGGACAACUGUGGACAA